GGGGCGCGCGGGGAAGCCCGGGCAGCCGGCGCCCCAGGCUCCUGGGCCCGGGUUCCCGGAACGCCCUGCCCGCGCCUCCUGCCCUCAGCCUGUCUGUCCCAUGCAAGUUGCACCAACUAAACCAUUUUAUUUAUUCUGGCCUAGAUUCCGCGUUUUCCCAUGAACGUGUUAAGUAGCCUCUGCAAGACUGUUACGGGCUUCCCAUUGGGAGAGAGCACGUAUAUUGGAGACCAGAGGGCCAAAUUCUCAGAGCACACAAGCAUUUAAACUUCUGGGUGGGGAUGCCGAAGGACUUAAUUGGAGACGUUGCAACGAUGGAUGAAGAGCUCAUUUUAUACCCCAGCUAGGAGGAUCUGUCGUUCCUUCGUACUAAGUGCGGGAGGAAAGGACAGCCUGGAUCGGCCUCGCUGGCGCACAAUGAGAAAGCUGCGACCCGCGCACUGAGCCCACUCGCCGCGACCCCGAGCAGCGAGGAGCGAGGGGGAGAGAAAGUUGCGCUCGGAGACUCCCGGCUCGCGGAGGAAGGCGCAGGGCCGCGCCCGCC
Molecule: long non-coding RNA, 544 nt
Filed under: Vulpes vulpes (red fox)
Lineage: Eukaryota; Metazoa; Chordata; Mammalia; Carnivora; Canidae
Description: lncRNA (ENSVVUG00000018674.1)
Source: RNAcentral